GUGACAAAUGCAAUGCAUACUUAAAAAUAAAUAAGUGGCACAGGAAUAUAUUUAAAAAUAGAAAUUUAAAAUAGUGUCUAGUUUGUCUUGAAUGUUAUAUUGAAUCUAAACUAAAUGAUGUUGAUUUUUUCUAGACGAAAGAAAUGAGAAUGAUAAAAUUCUAGACCAAAUUGUUCCUUUUUAGAGCAUUGCUCUUAGGAUUGUGUUUUGCUAUACUAUUUAAUAAUUUUAUUAGUAAUGUUUGCUUUGUAUUUAUAAAGGUAACAAUUUGUCUUAAGUAUAAAGUAAUUCGUAAAAAAAAAAUUAAGUAUAAUGAAGAACUUAAAAAAAAUGCAACAUAAGACAAACUUGAAGUAAAAUCAGAAAAAUGUAUAUCUUGUACGAGAUUUGGAGAUAAUUAUGUUAAAAUAUUGCAGGUAAUGGCUAUUCAAUUCUUUUUACACUAUAAAAAAAUAUAUUUUAAUAAUGCAAAAUAGUAUGUAAGUUUAAUAUAACUCAUGCCUCAGAAUAACAGAUUUUGGAUAAGUGGUAAAAAAACUUAAACAUUAACAUGAUAGUAAAUAUUUUAAGCAUAAAGAGCCACUUUAUCUUGUAUUUUGUGUACAAAUAUAACUUAAAAAUAAAGAAACGCAAAAAGAGAGCUUAGUAGGAAUUUGACAUUUUUUAUUUUGAUAUUUAAAUGAAAAAAAAUUUGGAUGGAGUCCAAGAUUCAUAGGUUAUUUAUAAGAAUAUACAAAAAAUGUAUCUCACGUAUUACUACGGUGUAACAAAGCAUAUGAAAUUACUUAGGAUUUGUAGUUUAUCUUGUUAUUAAAUAAUUGUGCAUUUACUAAAAUGUUUUUUAUGUUUAGGAUAUGGAUGACAUAACUUGAACAGCAAUCUCAUAUGUGUGUACCAACUCCCGUUAUUGCUGGGUGGAAUGCGGAUAACAUGAAAACUUCACGCCACAGAGGUAUUGACCUUGGCCAAGUGGGGUGAAAAAUGUGGGUGCUAAGACAAUUUAUAAAAAAGAAGUAACUGUGUUAAGAGUUGAAAUAAAAAGAACUACCAUCA
Papilio polytes (common Mormon) is the source of this 1053-nucleotide long non-coding RNA. RefSeq lists it as uncharacterized. NCBI's taxonomy places the organism in Eukaryota, Metazoa, Arthropoda, Insecta, Lepidoptera, Papilionidae. The transcript is spliced from 2 exons. The record is from RefSeq and is a predicted model, not a curated record.